This is a long non-coding RNA of Oncorhynchus tshawytscha (Chinook salmon), 603 nucleotides long. The record is from Ensembl. NCBI's taxonomy places the organism in Eukaryota, Metazoa, Chordata, Actinopteri, Salmoniformes, Salmonidae.
UUUCUCACCUUUUUUGUCACCUUACAGAACUGUUUCGGUUUCGUUUCAUUAUCUUUGUUAUUUUGUUUAGUGUUCUGAGUUUAAAUUAAUAUGAACACUUACCACGCUGCGAUUUGGUCCUCCUCUCCUUCCACCAACAAUGGCUGUUACAAAUAUAUGAUUACAUAAAUCAAUAUUUUGUCACAUAUAUGCCGGGAGUCAGGAAGCAAAUGCAGAAGCUCUGCCUUGGGGCGGCAAUACUCUCCCGGCUGUACCCAGGGUCCCUUGCCAUCCAGGAUCUCUUCCCAUGUCCAGGAGUCUGGAGAUCGCUGCUGCUGCCUGUUACCACGCUGCUUGGUCCUUUGGUGGUGGGUGAUUCUGUAACGGUCUUCUUCUCUGACGAGGAAGAGUAGUAGGAAGGAUCGGAGGACCAAUGCACAGCGUGAGCCAUAUUGAAAAGGUCUCACUUCCCUGUCCUUUUGUACUCUUGAAACAUUGUGCUCUGUCCAGAGAACAACCCUGUAUUUAACCUACCUUAAGUGCUUUUAAGUGCUUUUCCAGACUGUUUUACGAAGAAAUCCAGAAUGAGUCUAGGGUGACUGUGACAUGGUGUUUGGAUAAGAG